GACGAACGCUGGCGGCGUGCUUAACACAUGCAAGUCGAACGGAAAGGCCCUGCUUUUGUGGGGUGCUCGAGUGACGAACGGGUGAGUAACACGUGAGUAACCUGCCCUUGACUUUGGGAUAACUUCAGGAAACUGGGGCUAAUACCGGAUAGGAGCUCCUGCUGCAUGGUGGGGGUUGGAAAGUUUCGGCGGUUGGGGAUGGACUCGCGGCUUAUCAGCUUGUUGGUGGGGUAGUGGCUUACCAAGGCUUUGACGGGUAGCCGGCCUGAGAGGGUGACCGGCCACAUUGGGACUGAGAUACGGCCCAGACUCCUACAGGAGGCAGCAGUGGGGAAUAUUGCACAAUGGGCGGAAGCCUGAUGCAGCAACGCCGCGUGCGGGAUGACGGCCUUCGGGUUGUAAACCGCUUUCGCCUGUGACGAAGCGUGAGUGACGGUAAUGGGUAAAGAAGCACCGGCUAACUACGUG
RNAcentral lists this ribosomal RNA (468 nucleotides) under uncultured bacterium. RNAcentral's name for it is "partial 16S ribosomal RNA". It matches the Rfam family "Bacterial small subunit ribosomal RNA", at positions 28 to 507 of the family's 1533-position model. The record is from RNAcentral.